This 407-nucleotide long non-coding RNA is filed under the name Neodiprion lecontei (redheaded pine sawfly). Its description in RNAcentral is "uncharacterized LOC124295330, transcript variant X6". The stretch from base 251 to 407 matches the Rfam family "Bacterial large subunit ribosomal RNA", at positions 2473 to 2630 of the family's 2925-position model. The record is from RNAcentral. Lineage: Eukaryota; Metazoa; Arthropoda; Insecta; Hymenoptera; Diprionidae.
AGACUGUCUUAUAAUUAUUAAUUAUUGAAUUUAAUUUUUAUGUUAAAAAGCUUAAAUUUUAUUAGAGGACGAGAAGACCCUAUAGAGUUUUAUAAUUAAAUUUAUUUUAUUAAUUAAUUUAUUUUUAUGAAAUAAAUAUAAUUAUUUUGUUGGGGUGAUAAUUGAAUUUAAUAAACUUUUCAUUUUGUUUUACAUUAAUUAAUGAAUUUUUGAUCCUAUAUUUUAGAUUAUUCGAUUAAAUUACCUUAGGGAUAACAGCGUUAUUUUUUUUAAAGUUCUUAUUGACAUAAAAAAUUUCGACCUCGAUGUUGGAUUAAAAUUUAUUUUGGGUGUAGAAGCUUAAAAAUUUAGGUCUGUUCAACCUUUAAAAUUUUACAUGAUCUGAGUUCAAACCGUAGAUCUGAAGA